RNAcentral lists this ribosomal RNA (783 nucleotides) under uncultured bacterium. Its description in RNAcentral is "bacterial SSU rRNA". It matches the Rfam family "Bacterial small subunit ribosomal RNA", at positions 28 to 810 of the family's 1533-position model. The record is from RNAcentral.
GAUGAACGCUGGCGGCGUGCUUAACACAUGCAAGUCGAACGAAGCACUUAAACCUGAUUCUUCGGAUGAAGGUUUUUGUGACUGAGUGGCGGACGGGUGAGUAACGCGUGGGUAACCUGCCUCAUACAGGGGGGAUAACAGUUAGAAAUGACUGCUAAUACCGCAUAAGACCACGGAGCCGCAUGGCUCAGUGGGAAAAACUCCGGUGGUAUGAGAUGGACCCGCGUCUGAUUAGGUAGUUGGUGGGGUAACGGCCUACCAAGCCAACGAUCAGUAGCCGACCUGAGAGGGUGACCGGCCACAUUGGGACUGAGACACGGCCCAAACUCCUACGGGAGGCAGCAGUGGGGAAUAUUGCACAAUGGGGGAAACCCUGAUGCAGCGACGCCGCGUGAGCGAAGAAGUAUUUCGGUAUGUAAAGCUCUAUCAGCAGGGAAGAAAAUGACGGUACCUGACUAAGAAGCACCGGCUAAAUACGUGCCAGCAGCCGCGGUAAUACGUAUGGUGCAAGCGUUAUCCGGAUUUACUGGGUGUAAAGGGAGCGUAGACGGCUGUGUAAGUCUGAAGUGAAAGCCCGGGGCUCAACCCCGGGACUGCUUUGGAAACUAUGCAGCUAGAGUGUCGGAGAGGUAAGUGGAAUUCCCAGUGUAGCGGUGAAAUGCGUAGAUAUUGGGAGGAACACCAGUGGCGAAGGCGGCUUACUGGACGAUGACUGACGUUGAGGCUCGAAAGCGUGGGGAGCAAACAGGAUUAGAUACCCUGGUAGUCCACGCCGUAAACGAU